UACGCAGGGGACUAGCGUUGUUCGGAAUUACUGGGCGUAAAGCGCACGUAGGCGGCUUUGUAAGUCAGGGGUGAAAUCCCGGGGCUCAACCUCGGAACUGCCUUUGAUACUGGGUGUCUUGAGUGUGAGAGAGGUAUGUGGAACUCCGAGUGUAGAGGUGAAAUUCGUAGAUAUUCGGAAGAACACCAGUGGCGAAGGCGACAUACUGGCUCAUUACUGACGCUGAGGCUCGAAAGCGUGGGGAGCAAACAGG
RNAcentral lists this ribosomal RNA (253 nucleotides) under uncultured bacterium. Its description in RNAcentral is "partial 16S ribosomal RNA". It matches the Rfam family "Bacterial small subunit ribosomal RNA", at positions 524 to 776 of the family's 1533-position model. The record is from RNAcentral.